CGGUCGGUUUAGGUUUCCUCCGGUUCGAGUUCUUCAACGAUGGGUUAGCCGACGAUGACGAAAAAAGAACCAACUUCCAAGCCUUCCGACCACACCUUGAACUUGUCGGAAAACGGGAGAUCAAGAACCUCAUCAGGAGAUACGAGCAAGAGGAAAAGCAACCUGUGAGGUGUCUUAUAAACAACGCUUUUGUGCCGUGGGUGUGUGACGUGGCUGAUGAGCUUCAUAUCCCUUCGGCUGUUCUAUGGGUCCAGUCUUGCGCUUGUCUCACCGCUUAUUAUUAUUACCACCACCGGCUAGUUAAGUUCCCGACCAAAACUGAGCCGGAGAUUAACGUUGAAAUCCCAAGCUUACCUUUGUUGAAGCAUGGCGAGAUCCCAAGCUUCCUUCACCCUUCAUCUCCCUUUGCAGCUUAUGGAGAAGUCAUUUUAGACCAGCUCAAGCGACUUGUAAGCCACAAGCCUCUCUUUGUUUUCAUAGACACUUUUCAAGAACUCGAAAAAGAGAUCGUCGACCACAUGUCUAACCUCUGUCCUCAAGUCAAGUUUAGCCCUCUCGGUCCUCUCUUCAAGAUGGCUCAAACUAUAAGCUCUGACGUUAAGGGAGACAUCUCCGCGCCAGCGAGUGACUGCAUGGAGUGGCUCGACUCGAGAGAACCAUCCUCAGUCGUUUAUAUCUCCUUUGGCACUAUAGUCCACUUGAAGCAAGAGCAGUUCGAGGAGAUCGCUCAUGGUGUUUUGAGCUCUGGUUUGUCCUUCUUAUGGGUGGUCCGGCCUCCUAUGGAAGGUUCAAGUGUGAAACCAUAUGUAUUGCCUCGUGAGCUUGAAGAGAAAGGGAAAAUCGUUGAAUGGUGUUCACAAGAGAGAGUGUUGGCUCAUCCUGCGGUUGCUUGCUUCUUAAGUCACUGCGGAUGGAACUCGACAAUGGAGGCUUUGUCUUCGGGAGUUCCCAUGGUCUGUUUUCCGAUGUGGGGAGAUCAGGUGACUGAUGCUGUGUACUUGGUUGAUGUUUUCAAGACAGGAGUGAGACUUGGCCGCGGAGCGGCUGAGGAGAAGAUUGUUCCGAGGGAGGUUGUGUCGGAGAAGUUGCUUGAGGCCACCGUUGGGAAAAAGGCGGUGGAGAUUAGAGAAAGCGCACGGAGGUGGAAGGAAGAAGCGGAGGCAGCCGUGGCGUUCGGUGGAUCAUCGGAUAGGAAGUUUCAAGAGUUUGUGGACGAGUUGAUUACGAAAUCUGUUGCGAGAAAAGACAACGGAGAAUACUCAUGAUGAUGUCACGUAAUAGUCCAAAUUGUUGAUGUAACUCCGAAACCUAGACACCACUACGGUAUGUCAGUAUUCAUAUUAUCUUUUUUCUUUUUCCUUUUGGGUAAAUAACACAUCAAAUCCCAUCUCAUGCUCUAGUGAUGUCGAUCUAUCAAUUUUUACAUUCUAUUUCAUCACUUCGAGCCACAAGCACUUAGAUUUUUAAAACCAUUUUGAUGCAUUAAACUAAUGUCGCCAUAUGGCUUUAAGGUCAUUUAGUAUUGGGCAAUUAUCAAUAAUAGUACAUUUUGAGUUUUUGUCUCAAAAUAGCAUUAGAAGGAGAAAGUCACAAAAAUGACAUUCAUUUAAAGAGUAAAAUAUCUCUAAUACCAUUAGUUUAGAAUUAAAUAAACAAAAAAAAAUAAAAUAAAAAAUAAAAUAAAAAAAAUGGAAAAAAAUAAAACUUUUUUGUAUAGUUUCAGAUUAUAUGUUUUCAGAUUCGAAAUUUUUUAUAAUUUUUUUUGAAAUUAUUUUUUUCGAAUUUUAUUUUUAUUUUUUUUUCAAAUUUUCUUUUUAUAAUUCAAAAAUAAUUUUUGAAACUGUUUUUAAAAUUUAUAUUUUUAAUUUUUUAGUAUUUAUUUUUUAUUUUAUAAAAUUUUAAACCCUAAUUCCAAAACCCACUCCUUAACUCUAAACCCUAAGGUUUGGAUUAAUUAACCCAAAGGGUAUAAGUGUAUAUUUAUUUACCUCUUUAAUGAAAUAUAUUUUUGUGACUUUGAGCUUUGAUUGCUAGUUUAGGAACAAAAACUUGGUUUGAUGCUAUCCUAGUAUUUUUCUCUAUAAAAUAACUUCUUAUUCAUUAAUCUUUGUUUUUUUACUAAUCAAAAAUUAUGUCAUAAAAAAACUUUUGGAAACUUAUAAUAAAAUUUAUAGAAUCAACACAAUCUCAAUAAUCUUCUAAGAUUAUACAAUAUCAAGACUUUGAUAUUCAAACUAUUUAAAAUAAAAAGAUUAUUGCCAGCUUGUCUCAGACGGAGACGUAUGCAAAGCUUCUAUUUAAUCCGAAAAUUGAGAUAGAUGGAGAGACGAACAUAAGAAUAUAUAUAGCAGAAAAGAUUAGAUAGGAAUUAUCGAAAUUGAAGGUUUUAAAGAACAAGGAUAGGUUUCAACUUGUCUGACAAUAAACUUUACGUGUAACUAUAGUUAAUCCGAAAAUUGAAAAAAGAAAACAAAAAAGACCGAUAAAUUACUAUAGGGUUAAAAUCGUCCAAUAAAUAUCGAUAAUAACGGAGAAGUAAGUCGAUGGGUAUUGAGCUAAAUAGGGUAAAGUGCUAAUGUGUGGAGUGCAAUUUCUCAAAAUAAAAUCAGUUUCUACUUUCUAGUUUCCAUAAGGAAAAUAAAAAUCGAUGGAACCGUCUCUUGAGCAUGUGAUGCUCGUAUCUUUCCCAGGCCAAGGGCACAUAAACCCUCUACUUCGUCUCGGAAAGCUCAUAGCUUCGAAAGGCCUACUGGUCACCUUUGUCACCACAGAGCAGCCAUGGGGAGAGAAGAUGCGUCAAGCCAACAAGAUUCAAGACGGCGUGCUCAAACCGGUCGGUUUAGGUUUCCUCCGGUUCGAGUUCUUCAACGAUGGGUUAGCCGACGAUGACGAAAAAAGAACCAACUUCCAAGCCUUCCGACCACACCUUGAACUUGUCGGAAAACGGGAGAUCAAGAACCUCAUCAGGAGAUACGAGCAAGAGGAAAAGCAACCUGUGAGGUGUCUUAUAAACAACGCUUUUGUGCCGUGGGUGUGUGACGUGGCUGAUGAGCUUCAUAUCCCUUCGGCUGUUCUAUGGGUCCAGUCUUGCGCUUGUCUCACCGCUUAUUAUUAUUACCACCACCGGCUAGUUAAGUUCCCG
RNAcentral lists this long non-coding RNA (3142 nucleotides) under Brassica napus (rape). RNAcentral describes it as "long non-coding RNA (BNAP_LNC000396)". The record is from RNAcentral. Lineage: Eukaryota; Viridiplantae; Streptophyta; Magnoliopsida; Brassicales; Brassicaceae.